This is a non-coding RNA of Acanthosepion pharaonis, 107 nucleotides long. The record is from the annotation of a GenBank genome assembly. NCBI's taxonomy places the organism in Eukaryota, Metazoa, Mollusca, Cephalopoda, Sepiida, Sepiidae.
ACAGUCACAUCAGGUUGAAACACCUGUUCCCAUAUGAUCACCAAAGUUAAGCAAUAUUGAGCUAGGUCAGUGCCUAGAUGGGUGACCGCUUGGGAAUAUCACAUACU